UCGCUGCCCGGGACUGAGCCGUUUCGAGAAGAACGGGGACUGGACCUUUACGGCCUUAACCGGCUGUCUUGGACUGGGAACCGUUUUAAUCGCAGUGGCUUGAACCGGGCAA
RNAcentral lists this ribosomal RNA (112 nucleotides) under uncultured eukaryote. Its description in RNAcentral is "partial small subunit ribosomal RNA". The record is from RNAcentral.